Molecule: transfer RNA, 76 nt
Filed under: candidate division WWE3 bacterium RIFCSPHIGHO2_01_FULL_48_15
Lineage: Bacteria; candidate division WWE3
Description: tRNA-Phe
Rfam family: tRNA
About the family: Transfer RNA (tRNA) molecules are approximately 80 nucleotides in length. Their secondary structure includes four short double-helical elements and three loops (D, anti-codon, and T loops). Further hydrogen bonds mediate the characteristic L-shaped molecular structure. tRNAs have two regions of fundamental functional importance: the anti-codon, which is responsible for specific mRNA codon recognition, and the 3' end, to which the tRNAs corresponding amino acid is attached (by aminoacyl-tRNA synthetases). tRNAs cope with the degeneracy of the genetic code in two manners: having more than one tRNA (with a specific anti-codon) for a particular amino acid; and 'wobble' base-pairing, i.e. permitting non-standard base-pairing at the 3rd anti-codon position.
Source: RNAcentral
GCCGAGCUAGCCAAGGUGGUCACGGCGGGCGCCUGAAGAGCGUCAGAUCUCGGUUCGACUCCGAGGCUCGGCACCA